RNAcentral lists this ribosomal RNA (457 nucleotides) under uncultured bacterium. RNAcentral's name for it is "bacterial SSU rRNA". It matches the Rfam family "Bacterial small subunit ribosomal RNA", at positions 28 to 524 of the family's 1533-position model. The record is from RNAcentral.
AGCGAACGCUAGCGGCGGGCCUAACACAUGCAAGUCGAGCGCAUACCUUCGGGUAUGAGCGGCGGACGGGUGAGUAACGCGUAGGUCAUCUACCCUUUGGUGGGGGAUAACCCAGGGAAACUUGGGCUAAUACCGCACGAGGUCUACGGAUCAAAGCCUUCGGGCGCCAGAGGAUGAGCCUGCGUCGCAUUACCUAGUUGGCGGGGUAACGGCCCACCAAGGGGACGAUGCGUAGCUGGUCUGAGAGGAUGAUCAGCCACACUGGGACUGAGACACGGCCCAGACUCCUACGGGAGGCAGCAGUGGGGAAUAUUGCGCAAUGGGGGAAACCCUGACGCAGCCACGCCGCGUGGGUGAUGAAGGCCUUCGGGUUGUAGAGCCCUGUCGGGAGGGACGAAUUCUUGACGGUACCUCCAAAGAAAGCACCGGCUAACUCCGUGCCAGCAGCCGCGGUAAU